Molecule: long non-coding RNA, 721 nt
Organism: Erinaceus europaeus (western European hedgehog)
Lineage: Eukaryota; Metazoa; Chordata; Mammalia; Eulipotyphla; Erinaceidae
Exons: 3
Source: RefSeq, a predicted model, not a curated record
GGGAGGGGGUGGGGGCAAUGACACACUCCGGCUGGCCGACAUGCAUUUCAGGUCUGCAGGGCCUUAACAUCCAGAUACACAUAUGCAUGUGCAUACACGAAUGUACAUGUGUGCACACAUACAUGGAUGCAUGCACAUGCAUGUGUAUCCCAGAAGAGCAACAACACAUCAGCUAAUAAGACAACUUAAGGAGAUGCUCUUCCCCACAAGCACACACACACAUACUCAGAGGCCACUUGGAUGGAGCUCCCUUGGUUCUAAGGACAGCACAAGGCCUGAUCUGCCACCAAGUUGCAGAAGCUACCAUGACAUUCCCUGGGCAGACAACCUCACCAAUGUAUCCUGGAACCUCACCUCUCCAGAGCCCCACCCCACUAGGGAAAGAUAGAAACAGGCUGGGGGUAUGGAUCCACUUGCCAACUCCCAUGUCCAGCAAAGAAGCAAUGUCCACCUUCUGCAUCUUGUAAAGAUCUUUGGUCCAUACCCCCAAAGGGAUAAAGAAUAGGGAACCUUUCAAUGGAGGGAAUAGGACACAGAACUCUGAUGGUGGGGACUGUAUGGAAUUGUACCCCUCUUAUCUUACAAUUUUGCUCAUUAUUAAAUCACUGAUAAAAAAAAUAGUAGAGGGUGAAUGUCCAGCUUCUCGGAACUUUUCCUGCAGCACAGCCCACUCCCUCAGCACUGGAAGCCACCAUAGUUGUCUGGAACUGGAGAGGAAAAC